Molecule: long non-coding RNA, 1147 nt
Organism: Capsicum annuum
Lineage: Eukaryota; Viridiplantae; Streptophyta; Magnoliopsida; Solanales; Solanaceae
Exons: 2
Source: RefSeq, a predicted model, not a curated record
CAAUUAUUUUUUUUCUUGUAAUAAUUUUUUUUUAAUUAUUGAUAUGUGAUUUUACAAGCAAGAAAGGCAUUAAGAGAAUUAAAAGGAUUAGUAAAAUUACAAGAAUUGGUUAGGGGUUAUUUGGUAAGAAAAUUAUUUUUUUUCUUGUAAUAAUUUUUUUUUAAUUAUUAAUAUGUGAUUUUACAGUCAAAAAGGGCAUUAAGAGCAUUAAAAGGAUUAGUAAAAUUAUAAGCAAGUGCUACACUUCAUGGUAAGCAAGCAUUAAUGAGAGCACAAGCAAGUGUACGUGGUAAAAAAUGCUUCAUUAAAAAUCAAAAUUCAUAACUUCGUCAUGCAAGAAAAUCACUUGAUAUGUUUGAUGAAUCAAGAAGAGGAAGUACACUACAAAUGCCUAGAAGAAGGCUAUCAACAUCAUUUGAGGCUAAAAACAUAAAUGAGGAAAAUGCUAAAAUUGUAGAGAUGGACACUUAUGGAAGGCCCAAAUCAUCAAGAUCCAGAAGAGCAAACACUUGGGCUUCUGAUCCAUGUGAUGAUGAUCCAUUUGAACCAUCAAUGUUGUCUUCACGGGCCUCAGAUUGGGCCCAACAACAUCAACACUCCAAGUUGUCAACAACAACCCAAAGUACACUAAGGUUUGCAAACAACUCUCGUGGAUCUAACACCCCUAUUACACCAAUAGCCAAAAUGUUUGUGUUGAUAGCUACUAUUUUAGGAACAAUUAUUAUGACAAUAAUUAUCCUAAUUAUAUGGUGCUAAACACAAUCAUUUAAGUGGUAUUACAAUGCAAAAAUCAUGUUCACAAGCACAAGAUAAAAUCAAUUUCAAGAAUGCUAUCAUUGACAAAAUUGGAAAUUCAAGAGAGUUCAUUCAUUGACGUCGACGUCGCAUGAGCCUGACCAGCACAAAAGGGCACGACCAGGUCCAAGACGAGCAUGGCUGUCAAUCGCCCGAGCCUGACAAACACAAAAAAGCACGAUCAGGUUCAAGACCAGAACGACCGUCGUAGAAAUGGUGAAAGUUCUACAACAUUUUAACUUUAGACAAAGAAUAGAUAGAGAAUAGAAGAAAAGGAAAUAUUUUUAUGUAAAGUUAAAGGCAUGAUGUGACUUAACAUUGCAUUGAGCUAGUUUUCGAGGUUGAUUUUUUA